Molecule: ribosomal RNA, 2309 nt
Filed under: marine metagenome
Description: bacterial LSU rRNA
Rfam family: Archaeal large subunit ribosomal RNA
Source: RNAcentral
AGCAGUUACUACGCCACCUGGUGGAUGACUAGGCUCGGUUGCCGAAGAAGGUCGUGCCAAGCAGCGAUAUGCUUCGGGGAGGCGCAUGGAGCCUUUGAUCCGAAGAUUGCCGAAUGGGACUUCUCGAACCCUAGUGGUUCAAUCCGAAAGGAUGGGGAACGCCCUGAAUUGAAACAUCUUAGUAAGGGCAGGAAAAGAAAUCAAAUGAGAUGAGGUUAGUAAAGGCGAUCGAACACCUCAUAGGGCAAUCCGAAUCUUCUGAUGAGAAUCAGUAGAAAUGUGGAGUGGUCUGUUUACAUCUUAACACUGUUAUCCGAAUUUCGUGUGGAACACCGGUGCCAUAGAGGGUGAUAGCCCCGUAGGAGACACCGUGAAAGAUGAUUUUCAGGACCCAAGAGUAGCGUGCAUUGGAUAUUGCGCGUGAAUACGGGAGGUACUAACUUCCAACCCUAAAUACAAACCGAGACCGAUAGCGCAAUAGUAGCGUGAGCGAAAGUUGUAAAGUAUCCCUGGCGGGAGAUUAAUAAGAUCCUGAAAUCAGGUGGUUACAGACUGGUAUGGCGUGCAAGGGAUUAAGCGGUUACACCGCCGCACCGACGUCAUGCCGUUCGAUUCGAAAAUUGAUCCGUGGAGUUCCUAUCAUUGGCGAGGUUAAGUACGCAGGUACGAAGCCGUAGGGAAACCGAUAGCCCGCAGCGCAAGCGAGGGGCAAGGUGUGCUCGCCUGAAGUCAAUGGUUGGAUACCCGAAGCCGGUCGAUCUAUGCCUGGGCAGGGUGAAGCCUUUCGGAAGAAGGGUGGAGGCCCGCACCAGUACUGAUGUGCAAAUCGUUUGGAUGACCUGGGUAUAGGGGCGAAAGACCAAUCUAGACCGGUAAUAGCUGGUUCCUCUCGAAACUGCUCGCAGGCAGACCUCAGCUGAGACGGGGCAUGCGGUAGAGCACUGAUUGCGUGUUUAGGAAGCGAAAGUUUUCGGCAUGCUGUCAAACUCCGAAUGUGUGUCCGUCGUAGAAGCUGGGCAGUGAGGGCAUCGGGGUAAGCUUGAUGUCCAUAAGGAAAACAAACCAGACCAAAGUUAAGGUCCCUAAGUAACAGCUAAGUGUUAAAGAACAAAUAGUGUUUGAAGGCAUAGACAGCUGGAAGGUUGGCUUAGAGGCAGCCAUCCUUUAAAGAGUUCGUAACAGAUCACCAGUCAAGUCUCUGAGCCUAGAAAAUGGACGGGACUAAGUUGUUCACCGAUACUUUGGGCCACCGAAAGGUGAUGCGGUAGAGAGGCGUCGUGCGCGGGUGGAAGUGGGGCCGUGAGGUCCUGUGGACCGCGUUCGAAUGAUAAUCAUGGAAAUAGUAGUAGCGUAGAUGGGUGAGAAUCCCAUCCGCCGGAGGGGCUAGGGUUCCUCGACGAUGUUCAUCAGUCGAGGGUUAGUCGGUCCUAAGGUUCCCCCUAACAGGAGGAAUCGAAAGGGAAGCAGGUUAAAAUUCCUGCACCAAUUCACAUUUUGUCCAUUUCCUGACACAUCGGGUCCAGUGGAACACUCUUGUCUGAGUGUUGCCUUCAGCAAUAAAUUUGUGGAGUACCGUAAUGGUGAGAAACAAACUAAGCUGUUGGGAGGCGAAGUAUUUCGCUUCUGCUCUAGCCUGGUGUCCGUGAAAAGGGAUCUGGAGUCGUGUGAGUUGUCCGUACCGAGAUCUGACACAGGUGCCCCUAGGUGAGUAGCCUAAGGCGUCGCGGCAGAAUCCGGGCGAGGGAAUUCGGCAAAUUAGCCCCGUACCUUUGGUAUAAGGGGUGCCAGCUCUGUAGAGAGCUGGUCGCAGUGACUAGGGAGCUCCGACUGUUUACUAAAAACACAGGUGGCUGCUAGUCCGUAAGGAUGAGUAUAGCCGCUGAAUCCUGCCCAGUGGCGGUAUCUGAAACCCGGUUACAACCGGACGAAGGACCGCUAAACGGCGGGGGUAACUAUGACCCUCUUAAGGUAGCGUAAUACCUUGUCGCUUAAUUGGCGACUUGCACGAACGGCCUAACGAGAGCUCUACUGUCCCCGCCCGGAGCCCGAUGAAAUUGACUUACUGGCGCACAGUCCAGUACGUCCCAGCCGCAAGCGAAGACCCCGUGGAGCUUUACUGCAACCUGCCGUUGUGGCACGAGUUGUUAUGUGUAGAGUAGCCGGGAGACAUUACACAGGUGCGAGCGCUAGCUCGUCGCCGAGUCACUGAUGAAACACCGUCCUUUUCGAUUCGUCCCACUCACCUCUUCGGAGGAACCCCGGUAGGCGGGCAGUUUGGGUGGGGCGCCACUCCCUCGAAAAUUUAACAA